CCCCAACACCCGGCCUUGGGGGCACCCCAAAACAAGGGGACCCCCCAACGUCCGUCUUUGGGGUCCUCCCACCCCUCUCCCAUGAGAAGGGGACCCCCAACACCCGGCCUUGGGGGCACCCCAAAACAAGGGGACCCCCCAACGUCCGCCUUUGGGGUCAUGCCAUGACAAGGGGAACCCCAAAACCCAAUCCUGGGGACACCCCAGGGCGAGGGGACCCCAACGUCCACCCCUCUGGGGCCAUCCCAACCCCCCCACCCCGUAACAAGGGGACCCCAACAUCCCCUUUUGGGGUCAACCCAUGACAACGGGACCCCAAAA
RNAcentral lists this long non-coding RNA (321 nucleotides) under Anser cygnoides (Swan goose). RNAcentral's name for it is "lncRNA (ENSACDG00005007672.1)". The record is from RNAcentral. Lineage: Eukaryota; Metazoa; Chordata; Aves; Anseriformes; Anatidae.